GCAACGAGCGCAACCCUGCAUUCAGUUGCCAUCGGGUAAUGCCGGGCACUCUGGAAGGACUGCCAUCGACAAGAUGGAGGAAGGUGGGGAUGACGUCAAGUCAUCAUGGCCCUUAUGUCCAGGGCGACACACGUGCUACAAUGGCCGGCACAACGGGAAGCGAGUUCGCGAGGACGAGCGGAUCCCUUAAAGCCGGUCGCAGUUCGGAUUGAAGUCUGCAACUCGACUUCAUGAAGCUGGAAUCGCUAGUAAUCGUGGAUCAGCCAAGCCGCGGUGAAUACGUUCCCGGGCCUU
This 294-nucleotide ribosomal RNA is filed under the name uncultured Synergistaceae bacterium. RNAcentral describes it as "partial 16S ribosomal RNA". It matches the Rfam family "Bacterial small subunit ribosomal RNA", at positions 1089 to 1382 of the family's 1533-position model. Lineage: Bacteria; Thermotogati; Synergistota; Synergistia; Synergistales; Synergistaceae. The record is from RNAcentral.